AGAACGAACGCUGGCGGCAUGCCUAAUACAUGCAAGUCGAACGAACUCUUCGGAGUUAGUGGCGCACGGGUGCGUAACGCGUGGGAAUCUGCCCCUUGGUUCGGAUAACAGUUGGAAACGACUGCUAAUACCGGAUGAUGACGAAAGUCCAAAGAUUUAUCGCCAAGGGAUGAGCCCGCGUAGGAUUAGCUAGUUGGUGAGGUAAAGGCUCACCAAGGCAACGAUCCUUAGCUGGUCUGAGAGGAUGAUCAGCCACACGUGGGACUGG
This 268-nucleotide ribosomal RNA is filed under the name uncultured soil bacterium. Its description in RNAcentral is "partial 16S ribosomal RNA". It matches the Rfam family "Bacterial small subunit ribosomal RNA", at positions 26 to 322 of the family's 1533-position model. The record is from RNAcentral.